This 795-nucleotide ribosomal RNA is filed under the name uncultured archaeon. RNAcentral describes it as "bacterial SSU rRNA". It matches the Rfam family "Archaeal small subunit ribosomal RNA", at positions 85 to 879 of the family's 1478-position model. The record is from RNAcentral.
ACGGCUCAGUAACACGUGGACAACCUACCCUGAGGUCGGGGAUAAACCCGGGAAACUGGGUAUAAUACCCGAUAGAUCUAGAUUGCUGGAAUGCUUUUAGGUCUAAAGUUCCGACGCCUCAGGAUGGGUCUGCGGCCUAUCAGGGUAGUAGUGGGUGUAAAGUACCUACUAGCCUACGACGGGUACGGGUUGUGAGAGCAAGAGCCCGGAGAUGGAUUCUGAGACACGAAUCCAGGCCCUACGGGGUGCAGCAGGCGCGAAACCUUUACAAUGCUGGCAACAGCGAUAAGGGGACCUCGAGUGCUACGAUACAAUCGUGGCUGUCUAGUUGCCUAGAAAGCAAUUGAUAGCAAGGGCCGGGCAAGACCGGUGCCAGCCGCCGCGGUAACACCGGCGGCUCGAGUGGUAACCGCUAUUAUUGGGUCUAAAGGGUCUGUAGCCGGCUUAGUUAGUCUCUUGAGAAAUCUGGCCGCUCAACGGUCAGGCGUUCAGGGGAUACUGCUAAAGCUCGAGACCGGGAGAGGUGAGAGGUACUUCAGGGGUAGGGGUGAAAUCUUGUAAUCCUUGAAGGACCACCAGUGGCGAAGGCGUCUCACCAGAACGGAUCUGACGGCAAGGGACGAAAGCUAGGGGCACGAACCGGAUUAGAUACCCGGGUAGUCCUAGCCGUAAACGAUACUCGCUAGGUGUCGGCCACGGUGCGACCGUGGUCGGUGCCGUAGGGAAGCCGUGAAGCGAGCCACCUGGGAAGUACGGCCGCAAGGCCGAAACUUAAAGGAAUUGGCGGGGGAGCAC